GCGAAUCUGAGGGAGCUUGCUCCCAAAGAUUAGCGGCGGACGGGUGAGUAACACGUGGGCAACCUGCCUGUAAGACUGGGAUAACUUCGGGAAACCGGAGCUAAUACCGGAUAAUCCUUUUCUACUCAUGUGGAAAAGCUGAAAGAUGGCUUCGGCUAUCACUUACAGAUGGGCCCGCGGCGCAUUAGCUAGUUGGUGAGGUAACGGCUCACCAAGGCGACGAUGCGUAGCCGACCUGAGAGGGUGAUCGGCCACACUGGGACUGAGACACGGCCCAGACUCCUACGGGAGGCAGCAGUAGGGAAUCUUCCGCAAUGGACGAAAGUCUGACGGAGCAACGCCGCGUGAGUGAUGAAGGUUUUCGGAUCGUAAAACUCUGUUGUUAGGGAAGAACAAGUACCGUUCGAAUAGGGCGGUACCUUGACGGUACCUAACCAGAAAGCCACGGCUAACUACGUGCCAGCAGCCGCGGUAAUACGUAGGUGGCAAGCGUUGUCCGGAAUUAUUGGGCGUAAAGCGCGCGCAGGUGGUUUCUUAAGUCUGAUGUGAAAGCCCCCGGCUCAACCGGGGAGGGUCAUUGGAAACUGGGAGACUUGAGUGCAGAAGAGGAAAGUGGAAUUCCAAGUGUAGCGGUGAAAUGCGUAGAGAUUUGGAGGAACACCAGUGGCGAAGGCGACUUUCUGGUCUGUAACUGACACUGAGGCGCGAAAGCGUGGGGAGCGAACAGGAUUAGAUACCCUGGUAGUCCACGCCGUAAACGAUGAGUGCUAAGUGUUAGAGGGUUUCCGCCCUUUAGUGCUGCAGCAAACGCAUUAAGCACUCCGCCUGGGGAGUACGGCCGCAAGGCUGAAACUCAAAGGAAUUGACGGGGGCCCGCACAAGCGGUGGAGCAUGUGGUUUAAUUCGAAGCAACGCGAAGAACCUUACCAGGUCUUGACAUCCUCUGACAAUCCUAGAGAUAGGACGUUCCCCUUCGGGGGACAGAGUGACAGGUGGUGCAUGGUUGUCGUCAGCUCGUGUCGUGAGAUGUUGGGUUAAGUCCCGCAACGAGCGCAACCCUUGAUCUUAGUUGCCAGCAUUCAGUUGGGCACUCUAAGGUGACUGCCGGUGACAAACCGGAGGAAGGUGGGGAUGACGUCAAAUCAUCAUGCCCCUUAUGACCUGGGCUACACACGUGCUACAAUGGAUGGUACAAAGGGCUGCAAGACCGCGAGGUUUAGCCAAUCCCAUAAAACCAUUCUCAGUUCGGAUUGCAGGCUGCAACUCGCCUGCAUGAAGCCGGAAUCGCUAGUAAUCGCGGAUCAGCAUGCCGCGGUGAAUACGUUCCCGGGCCUUGUACACACCGCCCGUCACACCACGAGAGUUUGUAACACCCGAAGUCGGUGGGGUAACCG
RNAcentral lists this ribosomal RNA (1394 nucleotides) under Bacillus sp. (in: firmicutes). Its description in RNAcentral is "bacterial SSU rRNA". It matches the Rfam family "Bacterial small subunit ribosomal RNA", at positions 66 to 1441 of the family's 1533-position model. The record is from RNAcentral. Lineage: Bacteria; Bacillati; Bacillota; Bacilli; Caryophanales; Bacillaceae.